AGGAGGAACAACCCCACUGGCGGCGGCCAGCUCCCCAGCCCUGGAGUCAGCUCCCGCAGGAACUACCGCAGCUCCCUGUCCACACUGGCCUGGAUGCUCCGGGCGGGG
Non-coding RNA from Canis lupus familiaris (dog), 108 nucleotides. The record is from Rfam. NCBI's taxonomy places the organism in Eukaryota, Metazoa, Chordata, Mammalia, Carnivora, Canidae.